RNAcentral lists this long non-coding RNA (263 nucleotides) under Panax ginseng (ginseng). RNAcentral describes it as "long non-coding RNA (PGIN_LNC009002)". Lineage: Eukaryota; Viridiplantae; Streptophyta; Magnoliopsida; Apiales; Araliaceae. The record is from RNAcentral.
CCGACUAGUACUCGCUACAUUCUCGCCUCCUGAGAAGAAAAAUGGAACAACAAGAAAAAGGGUGAGCUCAACUAGCCCAGUAAAGAAUAUUAUGACUAAGAUAACAUAGAACAAAUUAUCGUUAGUCUUCAACAGGGAAAAAUCUAAUAGAAUACAAUAGACAACCAGUUUUAAAUCAAUCUUCGCAGCGGAAAUAAUAAUUCAUUAGAAGAGUUAAGUAGAGAAUGCAAACUACUAUCUUCUAUAUAUGAAUUUAAAAGUUC